AACGCGAAGAACCUUACCUGGGCUAGAAUGCUGGUGGACCGUGGGUGAAAGCCCAUUUUGUAGCAAUACACCGCCAGUAAGGUGCUGCAUGGCUGUCGUCAGCUCGUGCCGUGAGGUGUUGGGUUAAGUCCCGCAACGAGCGCAACCCCCAUCACUAGUUGCCAUCAGGUAAUGCUGGGAACUCUAGUGAAACUGCCGUCGUAAGACGUGAGGAAGGAGGGGAUGAUGUCAAGUCAUCAUGGCCUUUAUGCCCAGGGCUACACACGUGCUACAAUGGGGAGGACAAAGGGCUGCAACACAGUGAUGUGAAGCUAAUCCCAAAAACCUCUUCUCAGUUCAGAUCGCAGUCUGCAACUCGACUGCGUGAAGCUGGAAUCGCUAGUAAUCGUAUAUCAGCAAUGAUACGGUGAAUACGUUCCCGGGCCUUGUA
RNAcentral lists this ribosomal RNA (430 nucleotides) under uncultured Bacteroidota bacterium. RNAcentral's name for it is "bacterial SSU rRNA". It matches the Rfam family "Bacterial small subunit ribosomal RNA", at positions 958 to 1385 of the family's 1533-position model. Lineage: Bacteria; Pseudomonadati; Bacteroidota. The record is from RNAcentral.